RNAcentral lists this ribosomal RNA (293 nucleotides) under uncultured bacterium. RNAcentral describes it as "partial 16S ribosomal RNA". It matches the Rfam family "Bacterial small subunit ribosomal RNA", at positions 775 to 1067 of the family's 1533-position model. The record is from RNAcentral.
GGAUUAGAUACCCUGGUAGUCCACGCCGUAAACGAUGUCUACUUGGAGGUUGUGGCCUUGAGCCGUGGCUUUCGGAGCUAACGCGUUAAGUAGACCGCCUGGGGAGUACGGUCGCAAGAUUAAAACUCAAAUGAAUUGACGGGGGCCCGCACAAGCGGUGGAGCAUGUGGUUUAAUUCGAUGCAACGCGAAGAACCUUACCUACUCUUGACAUCCAGAGAACUUAGCAGAGAUGCUUUGGUGCCUUCGGGAACUCUGAGACAGGUGCUGCAUGGCUGUCGUCAGCUCGUGCCG